Molecule: long non-coding RNA, 125 nt
Organism: Lynx canadensis (Canada lynx)
Lineage: Eukaryota; Metazoa; Chordata; Mammalia; Carnivora; Felidae
Exons: 3
Source: RefSeq, a predicted model, not a curated record
GUCCGGCUGCUCAGACCUGACCGGCUACCAAUUACGAGGGGCAGAUCAAGGAUGACUUUCUUGGAGCCGGGGACGCUGACAUAGAUCUAGAAAGGAAAAGGACACGUCUUGAACUCCAGUCAUCC